UACGUAGGGUGCGAGCGUUAAUCGGAAUUACUGGGCGUAAAGCGUGCGCAGGCGGUUCGUUGUGUCUGCUGUGAAAUCCCCGGGCUCAACCUGGGAAUGGCAGUGGAAACUGGCGAGCUUGAGUGUGGCAGAGGGGGGUGGAAUUCCGCGUGUAGCAGUGAAAUGCGUAGAGAUGCGGAGGAACACCGAUGGCGAAGGCAACCCCCUGGGCCUGCACUGACGCUCAUGCACGAAAGCGUGGGGAGCAAACAGG
Molecule: ribosomal RNA, 253 nt
Filed under: uncultured bacterium
Lineage: Bacteria
Description: partial 16S ribosomal RNA
Rfam family: Bacterial small subunit ribosomal RNA
Source: RNAcentral